This is a non-coding RNA of Picea glauca (white spruce), 126 nucleotides long. The record is from Rfam. NCBI's taxonomy places the organism in Eukaryota, Viridiplantae, Streptophyta, Pinopsida, Pinales, Pinaceae.
GAGCGAACUAGCCGGUCUGUUGGCGAUGGCUUAGUUUGCUUUUGAGAGGAGGCAAUAUCGACGAAGCAAAUCUCCGUGCUCUUGCGAUUCUCGAUUCGUAAUGUGCCUCGAACACUUUGCUACAUU